Molecule: ribosomal RNA, 406 nt
Filed under: uncultured bacterium
Lineage: Bacteria
Description: partial 16S ribosomal RNA
Rfam family: Bacterial small subunit ribosomal RNA
Source: RNAcentral
AUUGAACGCUGGCGGCAGGCCUAACACAUGCAAGUCGAACGAGUGGCGGACGGGUGAGUAAUGUCUGGGAAACUGCCUGAUGGAGGGGGAUAACUACUGGAAACGGUAGCUAAUACCGCAUACCAUCAGAUGUGCCCAGAUGGGAUUAGCUAGUUGGUGGGGUAACGGCGCACCAAGGCGACGAUCCCUAGCUGGUCUGAGAGGAUGACCUGCCACCCGUGAACUGCAACACGGGCCAGACUCCUACGGGAGGACGCCUUGGGGAAUAUUGCACAAUGGGCGCAGUCCUGAUGCAGCCAUGCCGCGUGUAUGAAGAAGGCCUUCGGGUUGUAAAGUACUUUCAGCGGGGAGGCGUUACCCGCAGAAGAAGCACCGGCUAACUCCGUGCCAGCAGCCGCGGUAAUUC